UGAGUGGCGGACGGGUGAGUAACGCGUGGGCAACCUGGCCUGUACAGGGGGAUAACACUUAGAAAUAGGUGCUAAUACCGCAUAACGGGGGAAGCCGCAUGGCUUUUCCCUGAAAACUCCGGUGGUACAGGAUGGGCCCGCGUCUGAUUAGCCAGUUGGCAGGGUAACGGCCUACCAAAGCGACGAUCAGUAGCCGGCCUGAGAGGGCGGACGGCCACACUGGGACUGAGCACGGCCCAGACUCCUACGGAAGGCAGCAG
Molecule: ribosomal RNA, 260 nt
Filed under: uncultured bacterium
Lineage: Bacteria
Description: partial 16S ribosomal RNA
Rfam family: Bacterial small subunit ribosomal RNA
Source: RNAcentral